UGUGCUUUGGUAUGAUCCGAUCCUCCCCUGCUCCUCCUCUCCAUGGUGGUAGUUUCUAUUGUGAGAAGGUCAAAUUACUCCGCAUGUUUGCAACUGUACAUACUUUCGGGCUAUGUUGCUGCACGCUUGAAGAAGAAUUAAGAAGACCGAAUUCUGUUUCACACCGACUGAGAAUGUUUGUAAACUGAACCUGGGUCGUGCCACGAGCUCCCUUCUGAAAGUCUACAGUCUGAAGGCUCACCCUCUCACCUCGACCCCUAGAACAACCCUCUGAACAGCAGCAACAGCAGCAUCAAGGCGUCGCCAAGAUGUUCAGCACCAAAAGACUGAAGAAGAAAUCCCAGUCAGUGGAUAUUGCCACUCAAGGAUUCUCCCCUACCCUGGUGCCAGCCUCGCCGAUCAACAAGACUGCAGCACCCGUUACCAUGACAACCACGUUGGGGGUGCAGCAAAACAAUGCAACCAAUUCCCAGAGAAUCUGCAGUCCACGGUGCAGCGAGCUGAAACGCGGCUACACCAUAGAUACCGGCCAGAAGAAGACUCAGGAGAAGAAGGAUGGCAGCAGACGCAUGUCGUUCCAGAGACCCAAAGGAACCGUUGAGUAUGCUGUAAGUAAACAGGUUUUCAGACUGUGUCUUCUCUGUCUGGGUGUUUUUAAUGCUUUUUACUGCUGCUACUGCUGUGCUUCUGUGUGUCUACUGGCUGUUGCCCUGCUGUUGUGUUGGUGUGUUAUGAAAAUGAGCCUGGCCAUGCUGGCUCACAUCGUUAGGUGUGUGUGUGUGUGUGUGUGUGUGUGUGUGUGUGUGUGUGUGUGU
This is a long non-coding RNA of Coregonus clupeaformis (lake whitefish), 815 nucleotides long. RefSeq lists it as uncharacterized. The transcript is spliced from 4 exons. Lineage: Eukaryota; Metazoa; Chordata; Actinopteri; Salmoniformes; Salmonidae. The record is from RefSeq and is a predicted model, not a curated record.